RNAcentral lists this transfer RNA (73 nucleotides) under Chaetosphaeridium globosum. RNAcentral describes it as "tRNA-Ala". It matches the Rfam family "tRNA". Rfam says of the family: Transfer RNA (tRNA) molecules are approximately 80 nucleotides in length. Lineage: Eukaryota; Viridiplantae; Streptophyta; Coleochaetophyceae; Coleochaetales; Chaetosphaeridiaceae. The record is from RNAcentral.
GGGGGCGUAGUUCAAUUGGUAGAGCGCAUGCUUUGCAAGCAUGAAGCUAUCGGUUCAAGUCCGAUCGUCUCCA